RNAcentral lists this ribosomal RNA (496 nucleotides) under uncultured bacterium. RNAcentral describes it as "partial 16S ribosomal RNA". It matches the Rfam family "Bacterial small subunit ribosomal RNA", at positions 28 to 506 of the family's 1533-position model. The record is from RNAcentral.
GAUGAACGCUGGCGGCGUGCCUAAUACAUGCAAGUCGAGCGAACAGACGAGGAGCUUGCUCCUCUGACGUUAGCGGCGGACGGGUGAGUAACACGUGGAUAACCUACCUAUAAGACUGGGAUAACUUCGGGAAACCGGAGCUAAUACCGGAUAAUAUAUUGAACCGCAUGGUUCAAUAGUGAAAGACGGUUUUGCUGUCACUUAUAGAUGGAUCCGCGCCGCAUUAGCUAGUUGGUAAGGUAACGGCUUACCAAGGCAACGAUGCGUAGCCGACCUGAGAGGGUGAUCGGCCACACUGGAACUGAGACACGGUCCAGACUCCUACGGGAGGCAGCAGUAGGGAAUCUUCCGCAAUGGGCGAAAGCUUGACGGAGCAACGCCGCGUGAGUGAUGAAGGUCUGCGGAUCGUAAAACGCUGUUAUUAGGGAAGAACAAAUGUGUAAGUAACUAUGCACGUCUUGACGGUACCUAAUCAGAAAGCCACGGCUAACUACGU